CAGCCCCAAUGACUUGAGAAAUUUAAAAAAAUCCCAGGGACCAAAUCCUAGGAGUAAAUGAGUUGGUAUCGUGAGAUAGAAAAUAAAAAUAAAAAAUCAGAUAAACUACAAGUCAUGCCUGGCAGGGUCCAGACACAGCCUGACUGCAAGUCAAGCAACCAUCAACCAUUUCUAAAGUAUUAGCUAGGUUUGGGUCCGACACCAAGAUAACUCGACUCAACCCAAACCCACAGACAAUUUUAACUUGCUUUAGACAAUUGUAACUUGCUUUCCAAGGGAUCUAUGAGCCCGAAUCAAUUUUGCAUGCCCCACUC
RNAcentral lists this long non-coding RNA (314 nucleotides) under Elaeis guineensis (African oil palm). Its description in RNAcentral is "long non-coding RNA (EGUI_LNC072041)". Lineage: Eukaryota; Viridiplantae; Streptophyta; Magnoliopsida; Arecales; Arecaceae. The record is from RNAcentral.